Molecule: unclassified non-coding RNA, 279 nt
Filed under: plant metagenome
Description: partial contains small subunit ribosomal RNA, internal transcribed spacer 1, and 5.8S ribosomal RNA
Source: RNAcentral
UCUCCGUAGGUGAACCUGCGGAGGGAUCACUACAGGCUUGCAAAACCUCUGAAACCACUGUUUAUCUACCUGAAUCUGCUUCGGCGGGCGGUCCCAGGGGGGGGGCGGAGCCCCAAGGUGCCCGGCGAAUAGCCCUAUACGUUUUCGCCUUGAGUAACUCUGAGCCAGUAUAUUAAAGAAAAAGAAAAUUCGACAACGGAUCUCUUGGCACAGGCAUCGAUGAUGAACGUACCAGAUCGGAAGAGCAUAACUUAGUACUGCACGCACCUCGUACGACAC